UGGGGAAUUUUGCGCAAUGGGCGAAAGCCUGACGCAGCCAUGCCGGGUGAAUGAUGAAGGUCUUAGGAUUGUAAAAUUCUUUCACCGGGGACGAUAAUGACGGUACCCGGAGAAGAAGGCCCGGCUAACUUCGUGCCAGCAGCCGCGGUAAUACGAAGGGGGCUAGCGUCGCUCGGAAUUACUGGGCGUAAAGGGAGCGUAGGCGGUAUGUUAAGUCAGGGGUGAAAUCCCCGGGCUCAACCUCGGAAUUGCCUUUGAUACUGGGUGUCUGGAGUGUGAGAGAGGAAAGUGAAAUUCCGGGUGUAGAGGUGAAAUUCGUAGAUAUUCGGAGGAACACCAGUGGCGAAGGCGACAUCCUGGCACAUUACUGACGCUGAGGCGCGAAAGCGUGGGGAGCAAACA
RNAcentral lists this ribosomal RNA (402 nucleotides) under uncultured bacterium. RNAcentral describes it as "bacterial SSU rRNA". It matches the Rfam family "Bacterial small subunit ribosomal RNA", at positions 355 to 774 of the family's 1533-position model. The record is from RNAcentral.